RNAcentral lists this long non-coding RNA (1131 nucleotides) under Manihot esculenta (cassava). Its description in RNAcentral is "long non-coding RNA (MESC_LNC000235)". The record is from RNAcentral. Lineage: Eukaryota; Viridiplantae; Streptophyta; Magnoliopsida; Malpighiales; Euphorbiaceae.
GAGCUGAGGUAAAGACUCUAGUUGGACUUCGGCAGCAAAAGCAAUAGAAACAAAGUUUGACGCAAAACAGGCAAAAGCAUGCAACACACCGAACGCAAGAGAGAGAAGAAUGAUUUCUACGAUCGUGUCUGCCCACCAUCCCUCGAACCAAAAGAGAACUUAGGAUAAAGAUGUCGAGAGAGAGAUUAUAGUGAACAAAUCUUCAUCGCUCCCAUUGAUGAAAGAAAACACUGAGAAAAGCACUGUCCGAGUCCUUUGUCUCGGUUUCGGUACAACACCGCCACCUAGGGCAAUGUAGGAAACUACCUUGAUUCAAUCAUACAUCAGCAUUGGCAAGGAGGUGCGAUCGUUCAAUGGUUUGUUCACGCUUAACGAGUUUCAGCUCCAUGAACUAUCGUGCUUUCCUUACACUUGGAGGGACCUUUGAAAUUCGGAUCUAGGAAGCUUCUGAUCCAAAAACAGAAAACGCAAAGGAAAAUAUCAAAGGAACACAAGUAAGGAAAUCAAACACAGCUAGAAACAAAGACACUUCUUAUGAGAACUACUGCGUCCCCAAGAGCCAAAAAUUAUGUACACUCAGGCGAGGAGAGAGCAAGACCUCCCUCCGCCCAAGGGGCAAAGGAAGACCUCCAACUAAGGCAAGGAAAAUCAACUACUUUGGCAAGAAAGAAACAACAGACCUCAAAUAUGAAGAGAACUUUCUCUAUGAGGUAGAGAGAUUCCUUUUGCCGAAUAUUAAAUUUCAGUAUAACUAGAAAUUAGUUAUUCAAGAAACAAGAAUGGAAAUGAGAAUAUGAAACAAUUUUAAAAAUUUGUAUUGACUUCGUUAAUUAACUAUCAAUAUAGAUAUAUCAACUAAUUUACUAGUUUCUUUAUAAAAGAAUAGUUGGGUAAUCUAACUGAUAGCUGUUCCCUUAAUUCCUUCUGACCUCAACACUUUUCUUCCUCGUUCCCCCCUAACUCUAAUAUUGAUUUCUUCCUAUUCACAAUACAAGCAUGCGAGCAUCACAAUAUAGGGCCAAAUGUACGACGUACUCUCUGGUUCCUGAAGUCCCUCGUAUGAUGCAUGAUCCAUUUUGGAUUUGCGCAUGCUUAAGGCCUCAAAAGGCGCUUGCUUUUGCUGGAAUGUGU